GACGAACGCUGGCGGCGCGCCUAACACAUGCAAGUCGAGCGAGAACCGGUCCUUCGGGGCCGGGGACAGCGGCGAACGGGUGAGUAACACGUGGGUAAUCUGCCCUCGGCACCGGGAUAGCCCGGGGAAACCCGGAUUAAUACCGGAUGGCCUUUCGAAUCUUCGGGGUCGAACGAAAAGGUAGCUUCGGCCUCCGGCCGAGGAUGAGCCCGCGGCCGAUUAGCUUGUUGGGGAGGGAACGGCUCACCAAGGCUCCGAUCGGUAGCUGGUCUGAGAGGACGAUCAGCCACACUGGGACUGAGACACGGCCCAGACUCCUACGGGAGGCAGCAGUGGGGAAUCUUGCGCAAUGGGCGAAAGCCUGACGCAGCGACGCCGUGUGCGGGAAGAAGGCCUUCGGGUUGUAAACCGCUUUCAGGAGGGACGAAGCCACUCGGGUUAAUAGCCCAGAGGGUGACGGUACUUCCAGAAGAAGCCCCGGCUAACUACGUGCCAGCAGCCGCGGUAA
RNAcentral lists this ribosomal RNA (508 nucleotides) under uncultured bacterium. Its description in RNAcentral is "partial 16S ribosomal RNA". It matches the Rfam family "Bacterial small subunit ribosomal RNA", at positions 28 to 523 of the family's 1533-position model. The record is from RNAcentral.